RNAcentral lists this transfer RNA (70 nucleotides) under Brachygalba albogularis. RNAcentral describes it as "tRNA-Glu". It matches the Rfam family "tRNA". From Rfam's summary of the family: Transfer RNA (tRNA) molecules are approximately 80 nucleotides in length. Their secondary structure includes four short double-helical elements and three loops (D, anti-codon, and T loops). Further hydrogen bonds mediate the characteristic L-shaped molecular structure. tRNAs have two regions of fundamental functional importance: the anti-codon, which is responsible for specific mRNA codon recognition, and the 3' end, to which the tRNAs corresponding amino acid is attached (by aminoacyl-tRNA synthetases). tRNAs cope with the degeneracy of the genetic code in two manners: having more than one tRNA (with a specific anti-codon) for a particular amino acid; and 'wobble' base-pairing, i.e. permitting non-standard base-pairing at the 3rd anti-codon position. Lineage: Eukaryota; Metazoa; Chordata; Aves; Piciformes; Galbulidae. The record is from RNAcentral.
GUUCCUGUAGUUGAAGGCAUCAACAGUGGCUUUUCAAGCCACAGGUCUUGGAUAGAUUCCAAGUAGGAAU